ACUAUUUUAGUUUAUAUAAAACAAUAAUUUGUGGAAUUAUUUAACUUUUAAUAAAA
This 56-nucleotide transfer RNA is filed under the name Parachtes teruelis. Its description in RNAcentral is "tRNA-His". Lineage: Eukaryota; Metazoa; Arthropoda; Arachnida; Araneae; Dysderidae. The record is from RNAcentral.